Molecule: RNA transcript, 6407 nt
Organism: Drosophila persimilis
Lineage: Eukaryota; Metazoa; Arthropoda; Insecta; Diptera; Drosophilidae
Gene: SPoCk
Gene name: calcium-transporting ATPase type 2C member 1
Exons: 5
Source: RefSeq, a predicted model, not a curated record
GGAUGAAAUAUUGAACUCCAAUCGAGAGCACAGUCAGAUCAAAUCGGGAUAUAGUGCCGGAAGGUGGGCCGGCAGGAUUCUCCAGUGAAAUUUGUUUAUCUCCGUAUGGUAGAUCCGCUUUGAAAACGCGACAUUCGCGUGACAAGAACCUGUUGUUGUUGCUGCGCUUUCGAUAAGUGUUCUAGCGGUAAAUUUUAGGCGGAAAAAUCGAUUGUUCUCGUUUGAUUGUUUUUGUUUUGGUGCACGGCUUCGUUACGCGAUUCCUGCAGUCCCCCCGCUCGGCCACCGACACGGCCACAUGACUCAUGCACGGCUGCAACAAUGAAAAGCCACAAUAAGUACGCCAAGUUGCCCCAAGACCUCGACUUGAGUUUCCAAAGCGAUCUGGACCUGCUGCCGGACACAGCGGCCGACAUCGAUCUCGACAUAGAUGUGGACGUGGAUGCCCUCAAUCUGAGCUCGCCCGCCGCUCUGGACCUCCUCGACGACGACGAGGACGACGAGAUUGUAAUUGCCACUGGUGUAGGCGGCGGCGGCGGCGGCGGCGGAGGCGGCGCCAGUGACGGUGGUGGCAAGGGCGGCCUGCGUCUAGCACCAAAAACCAAGCAGCGUAAAAACCCAUUGGAACAGCAAAAGUUCCACAGCAAGAACAAAAUCUGCGGCCUUGGCAGCGACAGUAUUAUCGAGACGGGUUUAACCCUCACGCCAGAAAUGCUGCUCUCCACCUCGGAGUCAUCGACGCACAGCGCCUCCGAGGUUGCCGGCCGACUGCAGGUCGAUGUGCGGACCGGCCUCAAAUGGACAGAGGCCAAGUACCGGGCCAAGAUCAUUGGCCACAAUGAGCUGCUGCUGAUCGAGGAGGAGCCCACAUGGAAGAAGUACAUCGAGCAGUUCAGGAACCCUCUCAUCCUGCUGCUGCUCGGCUCGGCCCUGGUCUCAGUGAUCAUGAAACAGUUCGACGAUGCCGUCAGCAUAACCAUCGCCAUCCUGAUCGUGGUCACGGUGGCCUUCAUCCAGGAGUACCGCUCCGAGAAGAGCCUGGAGGAGCUCAAGAAGCUGGUGCCCCCCGAGUGCCACUGUCUGCGCGAGGGCCGCCUCGACACGUUCCUGGCCCGCGAGCUGGUGCCCGGCGAUGUGGUGCACCUCAACGUGGGCGAUCGUGUGCCCGCCGAUGUGCGUCUCUUCGAGGCCGUCGACCUCUCCAUAGACGAGAGCAGCUUCACGGGCGAAACGGAGCCGGCCCGCAAGAUCACCGACGUCCUGCUGAACAACACGAACGUGAAGGACCACAGCAACAUGAAGAACAUCGCCUUCAUGGGCACCCUGGUGCGCUGCGGCAACGGCAAGGGCAUCGUGGUCAGCACCGGGGAGCGCAGCGAGUUCGGCGAGGUCUUCAAGAUGAUGCAGGCCGAGGAGGCCCCGAAGACGCCGCUCCAAAAGUCAAUGGACAUCCUGGGCGCCCAGCUGAGCUUCUACUCGUUCCUCAUCAUCGGCGUCAUUAUGCUGCUCGGCUGGCUCCAGGGCAAGCCGCUCUCGGAGAUGUUCAACAUCAGCGUCUCGCUGGCAGUGGCCGCCAUACCCGAGGGCCUGCCCAUCGUCGUAACCGUCACCCUGGCCCUGGGCGUCAUGCGGAUGGCCAAGCGCAAUGCGAUCGUGAAGAAGCUGCCCACCGUCGAGACCCUGGGCUGCGUGAACGUCAUCUGCUCGGACAAGACGGGCACUUUGACCAAGAACGAAAUGACGGCCACGAUCAUCAUCACCUCCGACGGCUACAUGGCGGACGUGACCGGCGCCGGGUACAACGACCAGGGCGAGAUCCACAUCCGGCACUGCAACAACGUGGAAAUGGCCAAGACCAACAUCACGAAUCUCCUGGAGAUCGGAGCCGUCUGCAACAACGCGUACAUCCAGAACGGCACGCUCCUGGGCCAGCCCACCGAGGGAGCUCUGGUGGCGGUGGCCAUGAAGAACGGCAUGUACGCCACGGCCGAGAACUAUGUCCGCAUCCAGGAGUACCCGUUCAGCUCCGAGCAGAAGAUGAUGGCCGUCAAGUGCAUCCACAAGUACAACAACAACAAGGAGGAGUUCUUCUUCGCCAAGGGAGCGCUGGAGACGCUCCUGCCGCAGUGCACCAAGUACCAGUUCGGCACGCAGACCGUGCCCCUGACCAAGCAGAACGAGGCGGAGUUCCUCUCCGAGGCCUACGAGAUUGGACGCAAGGGCCUCAGAGUGCUGGCCCUGGCCAAGGGCCGCUCCAUGCAGGAUCUGAUCUACUGCGGCCUGGUGGGCAUCACCGAUCCGCCGCGGCCCCUGGUCAGGGAGUCCAUUGAGAUGCUGAUGCAGAGCGGUGUCCGGGUGAAGAUGGUCACGGGCGAUGCCCAGGAAACGGCCCUGGCCAUUGCCAAUCUCAUCGGCAUCGACACCAUCCACCACCAGACGCUGUCCGGGCAGGAGAUGGAUCAGCUGAACGAACACCAGCUGGACAAGGUGGCCAACAACGUGAGCGUCUUCUACCGCGUCUCGCCGCGCCACAAGCUGGAGAUAGUCAAGUCGCUGCAGCGCACCGGCAACAUUGUGGGCAUGACUGGGGACGGGGUCAACGACGGAGUGGCCCUGAAGAAGGCGGACAUCGGCAUUGCCAUGGGCAAGAAUGGCACGGAUGUGUGCAAGGAGGCUGCCGACAUGAUCCUGGUCAACGACGAUUUCCACACCAUCAUAGCUGCCAUCGAAGAGGGCAAGGGCAUAUUUUACAACAUUCGGAACUUUGUGCGCUUUCAGCUGAGCACCUCGAUCGCUGCCCUGGCCCUGAUCGCUCUGGCCACGCUGAUGGACAUUGCCAAUCCGCUGAACGCCAUGCAGAUUCUAUGGAUCAACAUUAUUAUGGACGGGCCGCCCGCUCAGUCGCUGGGCGUGGAGCCCGUGGACCACGACGUGCUCAAGCAGAAGCCGCGGAACGUCAAGCAGCCGAUGAUCACCAAGUCGGUGGUGGCGAAUGUGCUACUGAGUGCCAGCAUCAUAGUGCUGGGCACACUGUGGGUGUUCCAGCGCGAAAUGGCCGACGGCACUUUGGGGAAGACCAAGCGGGACACGACCAUGACCUUUACUUGCUUCGUAUUCUUUGACAUGUUCAACGCCCUGUCGUGCCGAUCGCAGACGAAGAGCGUGUUCACCAUUGGGCUGACCACCAACCGCAUGUUCCUGCUGGCCGUGGCCUUCUCGAUCAUUGGCCAAAUGCUGGUCGUGUACUUUCCACCGCUGCAGAUGGUCUUCCAAACGGAGGCCCUGACGCCCUACGACAUCCUUUUCCUGGUCACGCUCACCUCCUCCGUGCUGGUCGUCUCCGAGAUCAAGAAGUGGUUCGAGCGCACCAUGGAGCGCAAGAUGUACAGCACCCGCUCCGAGCUGGACUUCGUAUGACAAAACGCAAGCGCUAGAGACGAGUUGCACCCGAAAGCCGAGUAAAUUAAAUAACAAACAAAAAUAACAAAAAAAAGAGAAAAACUAUGCCAAAACCAAGUGAGGAGCGUGGUGGACUGGACCGACGAGCAGCAGCAGCAGCAGCAGGAGAGAAGCACGAGAGCAGCGAAGUGUGUGUUUAGUUUUACAUUUGACUCGACUCGACUCGACUCAAAAGUUAGCCAAAAUUUAAUCAGCAAAGCUGGGCGCAACUAGCCCCAUUCCGGAUUCCCAUAUUCCCAUACAUAAAUAUAUUCGACGUAAGCCUCAAGGUUCGCGUUAGCUCUCUCAGCGAACCAAGAACCACAGAAAUUCAACUGAGCAAUCGUUCAAUCGUCUCUCAGAUUCAAUCCAACAGAUGCAGAUGCUGAUACAGAUGCAACCCACAACCUAAAGUACCCUACCCGAUUAAAAUGUAAAAGAAAUGUGCAGGAGUCGCAGGAGCCCAUAAGACGAGGACGGAGCCCAGGCGCAGUGAAGUGAAGCAAAUGGUUUUUAGUAAUUUUGUUAUCUAAUUUAUUCGGUGUUUGAGAAAACAAGCAACAAAUUUGUGUACAACAACCGCAAAACGAGUCUCUAGUGCGCUAGCAGCCAAAACAAUUUAGAACGCGACUCCAGCUCCCGAACCAACACCUUCGAAGGGGGCGGGGAGGCUGGAGAUCGCCAAAAAAAAAAAGGAAUACUUCGCGUAUAUAAAACAAUGAUUAUGUAUUUUAUAUACGUAUGAAUAUUUGAGUAAUUUGAAUUUGAGAGUCCUAAGUAGACCAAAUGUGUUUUUUAGUUUGCCGCCAAAGAGCAAACAGCAAACAGUUCAAAAACAGAAUAAUGCACAGAACAAUGAGAUGAGCAAGAUGUGUAGCAAGGCAAAGCCAAUUCCUCUCAUAGCAGCACCAGAUUACUGGAAAGUAAUGUAUUUUAUUCAGAUAUAUUCAGAUAUAUAUUCAAUUCAAAUGGUAUUCGUAGCAAGUAACCCCACAAUGUACUCACCUUAAGACCCUUCAGUUUCGAGGUUUGAGCAUUGAACAGAGAAGCAAUAAUUAAAACAAUACGAUAUGACAGUCGGUUGGGCUUGUCAUCCUAUAUACUCGAUCUCCCCCCUCAAAUAGACAGUUUCAAUGGGAAAAAUCAAAAGAAAAAACAAAAGAAAACAAAAAUAAAACAAAACAAAAAAACUGCAAAAAUAGUCAAUUAAUACAUUUUGAAACCGUAUUAAGAGGAAAAUAUACAUAUAUUCAAGUGAAUUCGUAGACACAAGAUCUAAAAUUAAUAGUAAAGGCAACAUGUAAUCUCACUUCUAUGUUAUUGUUAAAUCCUCCCAAUAUCAUCGACAGUCGAUUCAUAUCAUCACCACUCAGAAGACCCAUGACCCCUCUCGCUCGAGCGACCAACCACUCAUAUUUCUACCGAUCAGAUCGCCCCCGAUAGAGUAUCGGGAGUGAAGAUUUCACUGAUUCACUGAUGCAUAUCACAUUUGCACCUAGAACGCAAAGCUUACUCACUGGCAAUCGGCUCGGAUUGUCUUCGAUCCUAAAGGCUCAGCUCGGAAAGCAACUUUUACACCUUUCGUUGAAUGAACACCUAUUUUUCACGUGUGUUUUAGUGCAAUGAGUUAAUAAGUUAAUGGACCAAGCAAGAAAUUAUUUACAAGAAUUGUAUCACACACUUCAAUAUCAGGCUUAAGCUCUCAUGAUCCACCAAGACACAGGCGCACCCUCAUAUAUCAUGGCAAGAAAAGUCCUCAAAAAAAAACAGAAAAUCAUUUAAAAAUACACACAAAAAAAAUGUAAAAUCUACGAUGAAAAAUUAUAAAAAAAAAUGAAAGAAAUUGUUUUACAAAGCAUUCCUAGAAGCAAGCAAAGGCUCAUUAUCAUAACCCACGCAUGAAUGCAUACCACACAUAAACAUAAGGUACACCGGACACGCCCACUCACACACACUCACACACACACACACACACUCACUCACAUCUCAUCCACAAUGGUAACAAUAAUUAGUAAAUUAAGUAUAUUUGAUUAACUAACGACAGCAACAAGAUCAAUAUCAAGAUCCAGAUCCACUGCAUGCAUGAGUGUCUGAAUAAUAAAAUAUAAUAUGAAUACGAAUACGAUUACGAUUACGAUAAAAUAGUCGAAACACAGGUAACGAGAUAACGUAUCUAAUGGAAAAUAUACCAAAAUUAUAUGUAUUGUACGGAAUUUUUUUGAUUAGCAAAGAUCGUGGAUUGGCAGAGGAUGUAUGUGCUGGACUAUGCGAGAAACAAUAAUUUAUAACGAUCGAUAUUGAUAUUGAUAUUAUGCUUAACCACUAAACGAUAACCGGGCUAUGAAGAUAUCCGAAGGAAGCGAAGGCGCGUAUAUAAGCCGCGUAUCAUAUGUGUAUGUCUGUGUAAAUGUCUAACAGUGCUGGCUGAAAUAUCGAGCAGUUCACGUGCUAUCAAGUCUCAAUCUGUUGCUCAUCUGUUUUACGAUCUACUUUAGUCUUUAGUUGGUUCAGUUAGAUGGAAUGUACAAACUGCUGGAAUGCGAAAUGAUUCUCGAAUGAUUUUUUUGAUCCAGGCUUAACCUAAAUGAAAUUAAACUAUAACUAACUGUGCUAUUAAAUGUAAGCGUAAAGAAUAUAUACAUAGAUGAAUACCAAGCAUAGGGCAGACAUUUCAGAAAUAUUUGCUACUUUUUUCUUACCCAGACUCCCGCCCCCGACCCCAGCCCUGGACACGAUUAUUCUUUACCUACAUAUAUCUAUAUCUUUAUCUUUCCUCCCCUUCACUCGAUGCAACUGAGGCCAGCUCUAUACCAUGUAAAAGUCAACUAAUGAAUUUACAUACCCGUAAUUACAUAAUUUCAAUAUUUAGUUAAGUGAAUAGCAUUGCGAUCUGCAGAAUCUUAAAAAUACUAAAUAAAUUAUACAACUAACUGUACUAAUAAUAUAUUUAAUAUUUAUCUGCGCGAGAA